Small nucleolar RNA from Nannospalax galili (Upper Galilee mountains blind mole rat), 132 nucleotides. Its record names the gene SNORA70. It matches the Rfam family "Small nucleolar RNA SNORA70". Rfam says of the family: snoRNA U70 seems to be exclusive to mammals and is a member of the H/ACA class of snoRNA which contain H (ANANNA) and ACA box motifs. H/ACA box snoRNAs are involved in the conversion of uridines to pseudouridines (5-ribosyluracil) a constituent of structural RNAs (transfer, ribosomal, small nuclear, and small nucleolar). The record is from Ensembl. Lineage: Eukaryota; Metazoa; Chordata; Mammalia; Rodentia; Spalacidae.
CUUAAAAGUAAGUUCAGCUGAUUUCUUUCCUUACUGGAGCCGGUUAUACAGUGACUGCCAAGAACAGCCUCCUUGGUGACGCACACAGAUUGUUGCUUGAAUGGGUUACCCUAAAGGACUUAGGAGAUGAGC